GCGAUUGUGCAGCAAGUGCGCGGGCAAGGGGUGGAGGUAGCAGUGUUUGGUUUGCCUCAGUGGGCCUUGAACUUGGCAAUCUGUCGGAGUGUCAGCAUAGCUCAGUGAUAGAGCCCCACACGGUGACAUGUCACCUCAAGGGAGGUCGUGGGUUGGAAUCCCACUGCUGACGCCCUAGCUAGGCAAGGAACGUGGUAAGAUGUAGGAGGCAGUAGAUCAAGAGCCAGUUGACCCUAUUUACAUUCUUUGGAAGCACGUAAGUUAACAGUUUACCUUCCCUUGCCACAAAGCCCCUGGGUGGUGUGCGGAGAGGUGCGCUAGAUUGUGCUGUUUGGCUGGUAGCGACAACAUGUUGAGAUACGCAUGCCGUGAUAUUUUAGAUCUGGUGCACGCAGGCUGCCUAAACACUCCUGACGUUGGGACUUUGGGCAAGGAGAGGUGGCCACCCGGUUGGCUCACGAAGACCAAGUUAGGUGUGGACCUAGGCCGGUGUCAGGCCUAUUCAUGCGGACUACCCUCCCCUUAAAGGCGACGCAGCUCAUAUUGGCAGCAAGCUGGGGGCUGUGGCUGGCUCCCGUCCGCACGAGUGAUUGUGUGAGAGUGGAAAUUAGUUACGUAGGUAGGUGUCAGGCCUAUUCAUGCGGACUACCCUCCCCUUAAAGGCGACGCAGCUCAUAUUGGCAGCAAGCUGGGGGUUGUGGCUGGCUCCCGUCCGCACGAGUGAUUGUGUGAGAGUGGAAAUUAGUUACGUAGGUAGGUGUCAGGCCUAUUCAUGCGGACUACCCUCCCCUUAAAGGCGACCCAGCUCAUAUUGGCAGCAAGCUGGGGGUUGUGGCUGGCUCCCGUCCGCACGAGUGAUUGUGUGAGAAUGGAAAUUAGUUACGUAGGUAGGUGUCAGGCCUAUUCAUGCGGACUACCCUCCCCUUAAAGGCGACCCAGCUCAUAUUGGCAGCAAGCUGGGGGUUGUGGCUGGCUCCCGUCCGCACGAGUGAUUGUGUGAGAGUGGAAAUUAGUUACGUAGGUAGGUGUCAGGCCUAUUCAUGCGGACUACCCUCCCCUUAAAGGCGACGCAGCUCAUAUUGGCAGCAAGCUGGGGGUUGUGGCUGGCUCCCGUCCGCACGAGUGAUUGUGUGAGUGGAAGUAAUUAACACAACCGAAUUACCAUCAUGACUCCUUGUAAAGCCUCCGCGUACGCAGCCUCCAUUCAUGGCGGCGGCAUCCUUCCCUCCUCGCACAUCCCCCCUCGCUCAUGUCACCUUGCAUCCUUCACCCAAGCAACCUGAAGAGAAAGCAACGCUAAUGACUUUCCUCCAAAACGCUCCACACAACAACGUGGACAUGUAUGCAACGGUUGACUUUCUCCAGAUUUAUGGAGGGUUAGGCGGUAGUGCGUGGACCCGCUGCGGGGUAAUGAUGGCGUAACUCUACGGGCGGUUUGCGACAAUUCCGGCGGGCCACUGACCGACCCAUUGGCGCUAGAUCUUCCCCCCGGGUGGCCGCUCCGCCCAGCGGAGAAGCACAAUAACAACAGAAGAAGUAACAGUUGGGGCAGCAGUAACCUUAAGGAACAAGGAUAGGCAUAUGUGGGGGGGGGUUGUUACGUCAUGCCCAUCUGAUUUCGUAGUAUUGCGUUAUAUAAGUGUGUGUGUUAUACAUGGUUGGGUGUGUUUGACCCCAUACCUGUAAAACUACCCAUACGGACCGAAGCGUUAUGUACACGCCAAGUAGUCGAAGCCGGUUCAGCAGCAAGCUAGGAGUUGCUUGCCCUCAUGGCACGGUGCGUGCUUUGUCGACCAUUGUGGAUCUACCUGAAUGGCUUUAAAAUCAAACAGAUUGCCUGCCUGCGAGCAGGGAACCUUUUUUACGGUCGGUAACUGUGAAAGGCGGUGCACGACUGGUGUGCGUGCUUCUCAUAACGAAAUAGAAUAGAUCAGCCGAGAGAUUUCCCAGGUGCGGAUAUCGACCUGCUCCGUCAAGAAACGGUCGCUGUGGGGAAUUGG
This 2000-nucleotide long non-coding RNA is filed under the name Volvox carteri. Its description in RNAcentral is "long non-coding RNA (VCAR_LNC002857)". The record is from RNAcentral. Lineage: Eukaryota; Viridiplantae; Chlorophyta; Chlorophyceae; Chlamydomonadales; Volvocaceae.